Molecule: ribosomal RNA, 433 nt
Filed under: uncultured bacterium
Lineage: Bacteria
Description: partial 16S ribosomal RNA
Rfam family: Bacterial small subunit ribosomal RNA
Source: RNAcentral
AACGAACGCUGGCGGCAUGCCUAACACAUGCAAGUCGAACGAGACCUCCGGGUCUUUUGGCUCACGGGUGUGUAACGCGUCAGAUCCUUCCCUUAUGUUCCGAAUACCUCCCCGACAGGGGUGCUAAUACCGGAUAAUUUCUUCGGCCCCAAGAUUUAUCGCCCUUGGUUGGGCCCGCGUUGGAUUAGCUGGUUGGUAGGGUAAAAGCCUACCACGGCGUCGCUCCAUAGCUGGUCAGAGAGGCUGAGCAGCCACACUGGGACUGAGACACGGCCCGGACUACUACGGGAGGGAGCAGAGGGGAAUAGAGGACAACGGGCGGAAGCCUGAACGAGCAAGGCCGGGUAAGUGAUGAAGGCCGGAGGGAAGAAAAGCUCGUUUAACCGGGAUGGUAAUGACGGUACCGGGAGAAUAAGCACCGGCUAACUCCGUG